CAAAAACAUGGCUCUUUGUUUUACCUAGUAUAGGGAGUCGAACCUGCCCAAUGAUUAUUUAUUUAAUGGCCGCGGUACUCUGACCGUGCAAAGGUAGCAUAAUCACUUGUCUAUUAAUUGUAGACUGGAAUGAAUGGUCUGACGUGAGAUAGACUGUCUUUUAUUAAUUUUUUAGAAUUUAAUAUUUAAGUUAAAAAGCUUAGAUUUAAUUAAUAGACGAGAAGACCCUAAUGAGCUUUAAAUCUCAGUUAAGAAGUUUAAUUAGGAUUAUUAGUUGGGGCGACUGAGGAACAAAAAAAGCUUCCUUAUAGAUAACAGGAUCCGGUAAAUACCGAUAUAAGAAAAUAGCUACCAUAGGGAUAACAGCAUAAUUUUUCUAAAGAGUUCAUAUCGAAAGAAAAGUUUGUGACCUCGAUGUUGGACUAGAGUAUCCAAGAGGUGCAGAAGCUUCUAAAGGUUGGUCUGUUCGACCAUUAAAACUCUACRUGAUCUG
This 493-nucleotide ribosomal RNA is filed under the name Thylacodes grandis. RNAcentral describes it as "partial large subunit ribosomal RNA". The record is from RNAcentral. Lineage: Eukaryota; Metazoa; Mollusca; Gastropoda; Littorinimorpha; Vermetidae.